RNAcentral lists this ribosomal RNA (446 nucleotides) under uncultured bacterium. RNAcentral describes it as "partial 16S ribosomal RNA". It matches the Rfam family "Bacterial small subunit ribosomal RNA", at positions 29 to 523 of the family's 1533-position model. The record is from RNAcentral.
AACGAACGCUGGCGGCAGGCCUAACACAUGCAAGUCGAACGCCCAGUAAUGGGAGUGGCGCACGGGUGCGUAACGCGUGGGAAUAUGCCCUUCACUACGGAACAACGUUUGGAAACGAACGCUAAUACCGUAUAAUGACUCCGGUCCAAAGAUUUAUCGGUGAAGGAUUAGCCCGCGUUAGAUUAGCUAGUUGGUGGGGUAAUGGCUCACCAAGGCAACGAUCUAUAGGGGGUCUGAGAGGAUGAUCCCCCACACUGGAACUGAGACACGGUCCAGAUUCCUACGGGAGGCAGCAGUGAGGAAUAUUGGACAAUGGGCGCAAGCCUGAUCCAGCCAUGCCGCGUGAGUGAUGAAGGCCUUCGGGUUGUAAAGCUCUUUUAACGGUGAAGAUAAUGACGGUAGCCAUAGAAAAAGCCCCGGCUAAUUCGUGCCAGCCGCCGCGGUAA